GGGCGUUUAGCUCAGCUGGUUCAGAGCAUCUGCCUUACAAGCAGAGGGUCGGCGGUUCGAAUCCGUCUACGCUUA
Molecule: transfer RNA, 75 nt
Filed under: Phocaeicola vulgatus str. 3775 SL(B) 10 (iv)
Lineage: Bacteria; Pseudomonadati; Bacteroidota; Bacteroidia; Bacteroidales; Bacteroidaceae
Description: Bacteroides vulgatus str. 3775 SL(B) 10 (iv) tRNA-Val
Rfam family: tRNA
About the family: Transfer RNA (tRNA) molecules are approximately 80 nucleotides in length. Their secondary structure includes four short double-helical elements and three loops (D, anti-codon, and T loops). Further hydrogen bonds mediate the characteristic L-shaped molecular structure. tRNAs have two regions of fundamental functional importance: the anti-codon, which is responsible for specific mRNA codon recognition, and the 3' end, to which the tRNAs corresponding amino acid is attached (by aminoacyl-tRNA synthetases). tRNAs cope with the degeneracy of the genetic code in two manners: having more than one tRNA (with a specific anti-codon) for a particular amino acid; and 'wobble' base-pairing, i.e. permitting non-standard base-pairing at the 3rd anti-codon position.
Source: RNAcentral